Molecule: ribosomal RNA, 439 nt
Filed under: uncultured bacterium
Lineage: Bacteria
Description: partial 16S ribosomal RNA
Rfam family: Bacterial small subunit ribosomal RNA
Source: RNAcentral
CCUACGGGUGGCAGCAGUGGGGAAUAUUGCACAAUGGGCGAAAGCCUGAUGCAGCAACGCCGCGUGAGCGAUGAAGGCCCUCGGGUUGUAAAGCUCUGUCCGCAAGGAAGAAAAUGACGGUACUUGAGGAGGAAGCCCCGGCUAACUACGUGCCAGCAGCCGCGGUAAUACGUAGGGGGCUAGCGUUAUCCGGAUUUACUGGGCGUAAAGGGUGCGUAGGUGGGUUCUUAAGUCAGAGGUGAAAGUCUAGGGCUCAACCGUAGUAAGCCUUUGAAAAUGGGAAACUUGAGUGCGGGAGAGGAGAGUGGAAUUCCUAGUGUAGCGGUGAAAUGCGUAGAUAUUAGGAGGAACACCAGUUGCGAAGGCGGCUCUCUGGACUGUAACUGACGCUGAGGCACGAAAGCGUGGGGAGCAAACAGGAUUAGAUACCCGUGUAGUC